This 253-nucleotide ribosomal RNA is filed under the name uncultured bacterium. RNAcentral describes it as "partial 16S ribosomal RNA". It matches the Rfam family "Bacterial small subunit ribosomal RNA", at positions 524 to 776 of the family's 1533-position model. The record is from RNAcentral.
UACGUAGGGUGCAAGCGUUGUCCGGAAUUAUUGGGCGUAAAGAGCUCGUAGGCGGUUUGUCGCGUCGAAUGUGAAAACCCGGGGCUCAACCCCGGGCCUGCAUUCGAUACGGGCAGACUAGAGUUCGGUAGGGGAGUCUGGAAUUCCUGGUGUAGCGGUGAAAUGCGCAGAUAUCAGGAGGAACACCGGUGGCGAAGGCGGCCUGCUGGGACAUGGCUGACGCUGAGGCGCGACAGCGUGGGGAGCAAACAGG